UGGGGAAUAUUUCACAAUUGGCGCAAGCCUUAUGCAGCCAUGCCGCGUGUGUGAAGAAGGCCUUCGGGUUGUAAAGCACUUUCAGCGGGGAGGAAGGCGAUAAGGUUAAUAACCUUGUCGAUUGACGUUACCCGCAGAAGAAGCACCGGCUAACUCCGUGCCAGCAGCCGCGGUAAUACGGAGGGUGCAAGCGUUAAUCGGAAUUACUGGGCGUAAAGCGCACGCAGGCGGUCUGUCAAGUCGGAUGUGAAAUCCCCGGGCUCAACCUGGGAACUGCAUUCGAAACUGGCAGGCUAGAGUCUUGUAGAGGGGGGUAGAAUUCCAGGUGUAGCGGUGAAAUGCGUAGAGGUCUGGGGGAAUACCGGUGGCGAAGGCGGCCCCCUGGACAAAGACUGACGCUCAGGUGCGAAGGCGUGGGGAGCAAACAGG
This 429-nucleotide ribosomal RNA is filed under the name Chloroflexota bacterium. Its description in RNAcentral is "Chloroflexi bacterium partial 16S ribosomal RNA". It matches the Rfam family "Bacterial small subunit ribosomal RNA", at positions 355 to 776 of the family's 1533-position model. Lineage: Bacteria; Bacillati; Chloroflexota. The record is from RNAcentral.